GAAAUGCGAUAAGUAAUGUGAAUUGCAGAAUUCAGUGAAUCACCGAAUCUUUGAACGCACAUUGCGCCCGCCAGUAUUCUGGCGGUCAUGCCUGUCCGAGCGUCAUUUCAACCAUCAAGCCCCCGGGCUUGUGUUGGGGACCUGCGGCUGCCCGCAGGCCCUGAAAACCAGUGGCGGGCUCGCUGUCACACCGAGCGUAGUAGCAAUCACCUCGCUCAGGGCGUGCUGCGGGUUCCGGCCGUUAAACAGCCUUACAAAACCCAAGGUUGACCUCGGAUCAGGUAGGAAGACCCGCUGAACUUAAGC
This 306-nucleotide unclassified non-coding RNA is filed under the name plant metagenome. RNAcentral's name for it is "partial contains 5.8S ribosomal RNA, internal transcribed spacer 2, and large subunit ribosomal RNA". The stretch from base 1 to 105 matches the Rfam family "5.8S ribosomal RNA", at positions 50 to 154 of the family's 154-position model. The record is from RNAcentral.